Molecule: ribosomal RNA, 407 nt
Filed under: uncultured bacterium
Lineage: Bacteria
Description: bacterial SSU rRNA
Rfam family: Bacterial small subunit ribosomal RNA
Source: RNAcentral
UGGGGAAUAUUGCACAAUGGGCGCAAGCCUGAUGCAGCAACGCCGCGUGAGGGACGACGGCCUUCGGGUUGUAAACCUCUUUUGGCAGGGAAGAAGCGAAAGUGACGGUACCUGCAGAAAAAGCACCGGCUAACUACGUGCCAGCAGCCGCGGUGAUACGUAGGGUGCAAGCGUUGUCCGGAAUUAUUGGGCGUAAAGAGCUCGUAGGCGGUUUGUCGCGUCUGCUGUGAAAACCCGAGGCUCAACCUCGGGCCUGCAGUGGGUACGGGCAAACUAGAGUGCGGUAGGGGAGAUUGGAACUCCUGGUGUAGCGGUGGAAUGCGCAGAUAUCAGGAGGAACACCGAUGGCGAAGGCAGAUCUCUGGGCCGUAACUGACGCUGAGGAGCGAAAGCAUGGGGAGCGAACA